RNAcentral lists this non-coding RNA (29 nucleotides) under Rattus norvegicus (Norway rat). Lineage: Eukaryota; Metazoa; Chordata; Mammalia; Rodentia; Muridae. The record is from RNAcentral.
UAACAGUUUGAAGACGCUGGCUCUGUGGU